Molecule: ribosomal RNA, 497 nt
Filed under: uncultured bacterium
Lineage: Bacteria
Description: partial 16S ribosomal RNA
Rfam family: Bacterial small subunit ribosomal RNA
Source: RNAcentral
GAUGGACGCUGGCGGCGUGCCUAAUACAUGCAAGUCGAGCGAACAGACGAGGAGCUUGCUCCUCUGACGUUAGCGGCGGACGGGUGAGUAACACGUGGAUAACCUACCUAUAAGACUGGGAUAACUUCGGGAGACCGGAGCUAAUACCGGAUAAUAUAUUGAACCGCAUGGUUCAAUAGUGAAAGACGGUUUUGCUGUCACUUAUAGAUGGAUCCGCGCCGCAUUAGCUAGUUGGUAAGGUAACGGCUUACCAAGGCAACGAUGCGUAGCCGACCUGAGAGGGUGAUCGGCCACACUGGAACUGAGACACGGUCCAGACUCCUACGGGAGGCAGCAGUAGGGAAUCUUCCGCAAUGGGCGAAAGCCUGACGGAGCAACGCCGCGUGAGUGAUGAAGGUCUUCGGAUCGUAAAACUCUGUUAUUAGGGAAGAACAAAUGUGUAAGUAACUAUGCACGUCUUGACGGUACCUAAUCAGAAAGCCACGGCUAACUACGUG